This 308-nucleotide long non-coding RNA is filed under the name Zostera marina. Its description in RNAcentral is "long non-coding RNA (ZMAR_LNC004930)". Lineage: Eukaryota; Viridiplantae; Streptophyta; Magnoliopsida; Alismatales; Zosteraceae. The record is from RNAcentral.
UAAUCGUAAGUAAAUUCAGGCUGUUGAGUUGAACGACGUUGCCUGACUGGUCGGGCUGGUUCUGGGUCUUCCGCAACCCAUUCGUUCUCUUCUUCUUCCGCGUCAUCAUUUUCUUCUUCUAAUCUCAAGUCGCGUCGUAGUUGUGUCUGUACCUGGUCUUUCAUCUAAAAACUAUGUUAGUUUUUCCAAAGCAGUGGAAAACAAACAGGAGCUUGCAAAUAUAGUAGGGAUUCCAAGCGAGGACCUGCCUUUUAUUUAUGUGUGUUUCCAUAACUGGAAAAUUCUUGGCGGGUGUAAGACUACACUCC